Molecule: ribosomal RNA, 468 nt
Filed under: uncultured bacterium
Lineage: Bacteria
Description: partial 16S ribosomal RNA
Rfam family: Bacterial small subunit ribosomal RNA
Source: RNAcentral
GAUGAACGCUGGCGGCGUGCUUAACACAUGCAAGUCGAACGGUGAAGGCGGAGCUUGCUCUGCUGGAUCAGUGGCGAACGGGUGAGUAACACGUGAGCAAUCUGCCCCUGACUCUGGGAUAAGCGCUGGAAACGGCGUCUAAUACUGGAUACGAGCUGCGAAGGCAUCUUCAGCAGCUGGAAAGAACUUCGGUCAGGGAUGAGCUCGCGGCCUAUCAGCUUGUUGGUGAGGUAACGGCUCACCAAGGCGUCGACGGGUAGCCGGCCUGAGAGGGUGACCGACCACACUGGGACUGAGACACGGCCCAGACUCCUACGGGAGGCAGCAGUGGGGAAUAUUGCACAAUGGGCGAAAGCCUGAUGCAGCAACGCCGCGUGAGGGACGACGGCCUUCGGGUUGUAAACCUCUUUUAGCAGGGAAGAAGCGAAAGUGACGGUACCUGCAGAAAAAGCGCCGGCUAACUACGUG